GACCAUAUCAUGUUGAAACAAUAGUUCCCCAUAUGAUCACCAAAGUUAAGCAAUGUUGGGUCUGAACAGUACCUAGAUGGGUGACUGCUUGGGAAUAGCAAGUGCUGUAAG
Non-coding RNA from Acanthosepion pharaonis, 111 nucleotides. Lineage: Eukaryota; Metazoa; Mollusca; Cephalopoda; Sepiida; Sepiidae. The record is from the annotation of a GenBank genome assembly.